Molecule: unclassified non-coding RNA, 563 nt
Filed under: Hevea brasiliensis (rubber tree)
Lineage: Eukaryota; Viridiplantae; Streptophyta; Magnoliopsida; Malpighiales; Euphorbiaceae
Source: RNAcentral
UGAACUUAAAUAUAGCCUUAUUUAAGUCAAUUUUUACCUCAGUCCCAAACAAGUUGGGGUAAAUCAAAGUAAAAUAUAUAUUAUCAGUCAUGUUUCCUUUACUAUAAGGUUUUCUGAUAUUUGGUUAUAACACAACAAUGCCUGCUGCUCCUUCCUUGGUCCCAGAAGUCCUCCCAGUUCCCGAAUUCUUUGAUGGAUUGGCUUAAUUCAGGGGUUCAAUAGCAGUCAGGUUCACGAAGAAAAAAUGUCUCACGGUUCUGGAUAUCUACUAUGAUAUGGUGCUCAGACUUACAGCAGUCCACACAAUCGAGGUCUUGAGCAGAUUUGCCUUCCAUUUGAUUUGACUAAUGCCAUAAUUCCAGCAGUUACACCAGCGCACAGUGCAGAGGACAAAAUGGUAUUUGUAUUUCGUCCUUGGUGAAUCGUGAUGGUGGUCACGGUCAAUCCACCAAUUAAAAGUGCUGAUGCUACUGGUAGAUAACUGAGUGAGUCGAAUCCAUUAUUCUGGAACGGAGAGGGGCUGUCCCUGUUAACACUGUAGCGACCACUUAUAAGGUCCGUCG